This 484-nucleotide ribosomal RNA is filed under the name uncultured bacterium. RNAcentral describes it as "partial 16S ribosomal RNA". It matches the Rfam family "Bacterial small subunit ribosomal RNA", at positions 29 to 507 of the family's 1533-position model. The record is from RNAcentral.
AUUGAACGCUGGCGGCAGGCCUAACACAUGCAAGUCGAGCGGAUGAAGGGAGCUUGCUCCUGGAUUCAGCGGCGGACGGGUGAGUAAUGCCUAGGAAUCUGCCUGGUAGUGGGGGAUAACGUCCGGAAACGGGCGCUAAUACCGCAUACGUCCUGAGGGAGAAAGUGGGGGAUCUUCGGACCUCACGCUAUCAGAUGAGCCUAGGUCGGAUUAGCUAGUUGGUGGGGUAAAGGCCUACCAAGGCGGCGAUCCGUAACUGGUCUGAGUGGAUGAUCAGUCACAGUGGAACUUGGAGACGGUGCAGACUCCUACGGAGGGAAGCAGGGGGGAGUGUUGGGGAAUGGGCGAAAGGCGGACGGAGCAGCGCAGCGUGAGUGAUGAAGGUCUUCGGAUCGUAAAGCUGUGUAAUGGGGGAAGAACAAAUGUGAAAGUAACUAUGCACGUCUUGACGGUACAUAAUCAGAAAGCCACGGCUAACUACGUG